GAACCUACGGGAGGCAGCAGUAGGGAAUCUUCCACAAUGGGCGAAAGCCUGAUGGAGCAACGCCGCGUGGGUGAAGAAGGUCUUCGGAUCGUAAAACCCUGUUGUUAGAGAAGAAAGUGCGUGAGAGUAACUGUUCACGUUUCGACGGUAUCUAACCAGAAAGCCACGGCUAACUACGUGCCAGCAGCCGCGGUAAUACGUAGGUGGCAAGCGUUAUCCGGAUUUAUUGUGCGUAAAGGGAACGCAGGCGGUCUUUUAAGUCUUAUGUGUAAGCCUUCGGCUUAACCGGUGUCGUGCAUUGGACA
Molecule: ribosomal RNA, 305 nt
Filed under: uncultured bacterium
Lineage: Bacteria
Description: bacterial SSU rRNA
Rfam family: Bacterial small subunit ribosomal RNA
Source: RNAcentral